CGGAGCAUGUGGUUUAAUUCGAAGCAACGCGAAGAACCUUACCAGGGCUUGACAUGCCGCUGACCGGUGCAGAGAUGCAUCUUUAUCCUUCGGGGUACAGCGGACACAGGUGGUGCAUGGUUGUCGUCAGCUCGUGUCGUGAGAUGUUGGGUUAAGUCCCGCAACGAGCGCAACCCUUGUCUUUAGUUGCCAUCAUUAAGUUGGGCACUCUAAAGAGACUGCCGAUGACAAAUCGGAGGAAGGUGGGGAUGACGUCAAAUCAUCAUGCCCUUUAUGUCCUGGGCUACACACGUGCUACAAUGGUCGGUACAACGAGAAGCAAGUCAGCGAUGGCAAGCAAAUCUCUAAAAGCCGAUCCCAGUUCGGAUUGCAGGCUGCAACUCGACUUCAUGAAGUUGGAAUCGCUAGUAAUCGCGGAUCAGCAUGCCGCGGUGAAUACGUUCCCGGGCCUU
This 452-nucleotide ribosomal RNA is filed under the name uncultured Eubacteriales bacterium. Its description in RNAcentral is "bacterial SSU rRNA". It matches the Rfam family "Bacterial small subunit ribosomal RNA", at positions 933 to 1382 of the family's 1533-position model. The record is from RNAcentral. Lineage: Bacteria; Bacillati; Bacillota; Clostridia; Eubacteriales.